Molecule: long non-coding RNA, 99 nt
Organism: Myotis brandtii (Brandt's bat)
Lineage: Eukaryota; Metazoa; Chordata; Mammalia; Chiroptera; Vespertilionidae
Exons: 3
Source: RefSeq, a predicted model, not a curated record
GUACCUUGGUUAAAGGUUCAAUCCCUAGCCCCAGUCUGGGUGUGCAGGAGCAACCAGUGAAUAUGUCUCUCUCACAUCAAUGUUUCUCUCCCUCUGUCU